CUGAGCUCCCCCACAGGGUGGCAAGAAAAGGAGCCCCUGUGUCCCCAGAGACAUUCAGCAGUGGCUUGUCAAAAACGUGGAAGAGCAGCGUUAAUAUUGAGCUCCUAGUGUGUGCCAGGCGCUCUCUAUAUACAUCCUUUGAUGUGUUGCCCCAUUAACACUUGGAGAGCUGAGGCUGAGAGAGAUAACAAGACUGCGAGUUAAGAGAGAGAAGUGGCUUGCCGACAUUAUACAGCAAGGAAAGUGGCUCCACCAUGAACCACCCCUAGCCUGUGCUACUCCAGAGAAGAUGAAGAAACAACCUAGCAAGGUUAGGAAAUUUGCCCAAAGUCGCAUAACCAGGAUGUGAAGAAACUGGUCUUUCUGACUCCAAAGUUCAUACUUUUCCUCUUACGCCACAUCCCUUCUCUGGCACCAAUCACCUUGAAUUGCAAAUACUUCUUGUCACUGUCUUCGCCAUGGCCUGCGAGCCCUACAAGGCAGUUGGUGGCUCUGAUUUCGGGACUGUGACCCCACUGCCCAGUAAGGGGUUUGCUCCCAAGUGUCUGAUCCUAAAAGUGUAAUGGGAGUGAGUGACUUGUUCCAUUUGCAGGGACCCAGCCUGGAAAGGAAAAGCAGUAUGUUUGUCCUCUCCCUGUGCAGGGACAGGCCCACUAUCUCUCCUGGAAGGCGAUAAAGGGGCAGCUCUUGCCUCCUUGAGGACUUACAGAUGUUUCCUGAGGCCAUGAGGGCAUUUCUGCCUCUUGCCAGUUCAUGUGAGCGGCGGGGAAAGCCAGCCUCAUGGCUCUGCUGGUGUGAAUGUCAACAACCAACUCUAGCCAGCAACCUGGAAAUUUCUCUGCAACGUUAAGGCCAGUAGAGGCCCACGGAGGAUGGAGGCCCCAUCACCAGCUUGUCGGAUUCUUGCUGAAGACCUGAAAGAGCUCCACCGUAGAGACAGCAGGACCUGCUGGUUGAGACCUCCAGCUCUGCAGUCACCUCUAGCCUGGAAAACCAUCUCCAUCACUUAGUAAAUCUGUGGCCUUGGCAAGUUUCUCAACCUCUCUAAACCUCAAUUACUUCACUUUUAGCAGAGAGUAAUUCCUUCCUUUUCAAAAUUAUGUACAAAAAAAGAUAACGUAUAUAAAACCCUUACCACCAAGCACAGUGCUCGCAUACAACAAUAACACUAAUGAUGAUGGUAACAGUAAUAAUAACUUAGUAUCAAACUAUCCGUUGUAGAUUUUUGUUGUUUGCAGCUAAAAAUCCUGACUGAUAUGGUGAAUGUGAUUUGUUGGGGGAGCAGAGUGUUUUCUAGAAGGACAGGCCACUUGGACCCGAGAGGUGGUUUCCCCCGGUCCAGGACACGUGCUGAUGGAGAAAGCGAUCUGCCAUCUUUUGGGUGUGAGCAUGUGCUGCUCCUGCUCUGGACCCCAACUCCUGGAGUAACCUGAGAAGGGAGAGACCUGGUCAAGAUUCUGUCCCCAGUCUUCUUCUUUUUUUUCUUUCUUUUUAAAGAUUUAAUUUUUUUCCUUUUUCUUCCCAAAGCCCUCCAGUACACAGUUGCACAUUCUUAGUUGUGGGUCCCUCUAGUUGUGGCAUGUGGGACGCCGCCUCAGCGUGGCUCGAUGACUGGCACCAUGUCUGCACCUAGGAUCCGAACCGGUGAAACCCUGGGCUGCCGCAGCAAAGCGUGAGAACUUAACCACUCGGCCACGGGGCCAGCCCCAUCCCCACUCUUUUGAAUCCCAAGUAGCAAACAAUCAUUUCUUUGUCCCUACUACCUAGUAUAGGACGGAACAAUUAGCAGUUAUUAAAAUUAUAUGCUAUUUUUAAAAGAAAGUGAAUAAUCAUUUAUAUUGAACAAUAUUUAAAAGUUAGAAAGUAUUUUCACAAGGAUUACUUUAUUUCCAUUGUUUACGCAUGCAAAUACCCACAAAAAAAGAGAUGAGCUUUAUUUAAAUCCUUCUUGAGCUCUUCCAGUUUUCACCCACAGGCCUCCAGGGAAGAAACUGAAAGACUUGUGCAAUUUUGGAUUGUAAUCUUUUCACUGGACAUUCUUUCGUAUAUAUUUUCCGUGUCUCCAUGAGAUUUAUAUCUGUCAUUUUUAAGCGUGUCAUAGUAUUCCUUCAAAUGAAUGGGCCAAACGUUGUUCAUCUACCUGUCAUUUGGCACCUGAAAGUUCCAGGUUUCUGCUAUCAUAUGUAAAACUAUCAACCUUUAUUAAAACAAGCUUUUAAAACAAUUUUAGAAGUAUUUCUUUAGGGCUGAUUCCUAGAAGCAGACUGAGGGACCAAAGGAUAGGAAUGGGUUUUCUUGGCCUUGUUACUGAAGGUUAGAUCAUCCUAAAGAAAGAUGAAA
This 2340-nucleotide long non-coding RNA is filed under the name Equus asinus (donkey). Its description in RNAcentral is "lncRNA (ENSEASG00005037637.1)". The record is from RNAcentral. Lineage: Eukaryota; Metazoa; Chordata; Mammalia; Perissodactyla; Equidae.